RNAcentral lists this transfer RNA (85 nucleotides) under Felis catus (domestic cat). It matches the Rfam family "tRNA". From Rfam's summary of the family: Transfer RNA (tRNA) molecules are approximately 80 nucleotides in length. Lineage: Eukaryota; Metazoa; Chordata; Mammalia; Carnivora; Felidae. The record is from Rfam by way of RNAcentral.
GCCUGGAUGGCUCAGUCGGUUAAGCGUCUGACUUCGGCUCAGGUCAUGAUCUCGCGGUGCGUGGGUUCGAGCCCCGCGUCGGGCU